UAAAGUUUACUAUAAAAAAAAUUACAAGAGCAUUGUUCAAUACUAAAAAAAUGUCCACAACUUCAAUAUAUCAAUAGUUUCACCUGAGAGGAGUUUAGGUUAGACGCAUCCCUUGUUUGAUCCAGCAUCUGUUUGGUUUGUUCCUCCUGGGCCGCUUGGCUUAAGGUAGUUUUAGAUGUAGUACCUGUACCUUGGCAAGUGACAAGAAUCAAUUAUUGACAUAUAGUGGACAAAAUCUGAUAAAUGUAGACGUGAAUAAAGUUUGCUAUUUGAGACUAUGAUCUAAAACUCCUAUUCUACUCCAAAGAGAUCCAAGUGGAUGAAGGAAAAGUCUAUUCUUGUAAUGCCUUAAUCCAUGGAAUACAAAUUGCAUCUACUAACAAGUAAUUUCAACUAUAAAACUUUUGAAAAAAGCUAGCUUUUCCAGCUUGUUGGACCAAAACAGUUGUUGUCGACAAAGUCAAGGAAAGCUUUGACGUGGUGGUGUUAAUUUUGUGCAGAACAGUAACAUUUAGAGUUGUUGUUGUAGCGUCAAAAGGAGUGACUGUAGAUGUCAAAUGUCACCUGGUACUCCCGUUGUCAGGUUCCAGUCUGCUGUUGAACUGCUUGCAGUCGAGCUUAGAUUGGAGAUGAUUCCAACACUUUGAUUGUGAUUGAUGGUGAUACUGACAGGGGAAGCAGCUGUUAGGUUAUCAUUUCCGUGGGUUGUUGUGAUGUUGGUCACUCUCGCUGUGGUCUGAUUUACAGUCUGGUUGAUAAGUGGAGCUCCUAUUGUUUCGUUGGUUAAAGGUGAGACUGUUGUGACAUUCAAUGUUGUUGUGUUAUUCAGAGAAGGUGUGACUGUUAUGUUGACUGUUAUGUUGGAUGUUAUUGUUUUAUUGGUUGAUGGUGAGACUGCUGUUGCAUUCAAUGUUGUUGUGUUAUUCAGAGAAGGUGUGACUGUUACGUUGGAUGUUGUUGUUUCAUUGGUUGGAGGUGAGAGUGUUGUGACAUUCAAUGUUGUUGUGUUAUUCAGAGAAGGUGCAACUGUUAUGUUGGAUGUUGUUGUUUCAUUGGUUGAAGGUGUGACUCUAGUUAUGUUGUUUGUCGUUGUGUCAUUCAGAGAAGGUGUGACUGUUAUGUUGGAUGUUGUUGUUUUAUUGGUUGAAGGUGAGACUGUUGUGACAUUGAAUGUUGUAGUGUCAUUAAGAAAAGGUGUGACUGUUAUGUUGGAUGUUAUUGUUUUAUUGGUUGAAUGUGAGACUGUUGUGACAUUCAAUGUUGUUGUGUUAUUCAGAGAAGGUGUGACUGUUACGUUGGAUGUUAUUGUUUUAUUGGUCGAAGGUGAGACUGUUGUGACAUUCAAUGUUGUUGUGUUAUUCAGAGAAGGUGUGACUGUUAUGUUGGAUGUUAUUGUGUUAUUGGUUGAAGGUGAGAUUCUUGUGACAUUCAAUGUUGUUGUGUUAUUCAAAGAAGGUGUGACUGUUAUGUUGGAUGUUAUUGUUUUAUUGUUUAAAGGUGACACUGUUGUGACAUUCAAUGUUGCUGUGGUUGUGUUAUUCAGAGAAGGUUUGACUGUUAUGUUCGGUAUGUUGUUGUUUCUUUGGUUGAAGGUGAGACUGUUGUGACUUUCAAUGUUGUUGUGUGAUUGGUUGAAGGUGUGACUGUAGUUAUGUUGUUUGUUGUUGUGUCAUUCAGAAAAGCUGUGACUGUUGCGUUGGAUGUUGUUGUUUUAUUUGUUAAAGGUGACACUGUUGUGACAUUGUAUGUUGUUGUUUGAUUGGUUGAAACUGAGACAGUUACAUUCAAUGUCAUUGUGUUAUUCAGAAAAGGUGUGACUGUCGUUACAUUGUUUGUUGUUGUGUCAUUCUGAAAGGGUGUGACUGUUGUUACACUGUAUGUUGUUGUGUGAUUGUUUGAAGGUGUGACUUUGUUAACUGUUACGUUGUCCACAGUUGUGUGGUUUUGUUGCAAUUUAGUUAUGUUAUGUGUGUAACCGAUGGAUUCAGUUGUCCUAACAUUUAAGUUUGAGUCAUUAGAGGAUAAUGUUGUGAAAUUUGUUGCGUUUUGCCGUCUUGUAGUUGUGUUUUGUAAUUUGCUAUUAUCAGUGGGUGUCCAUACUGUGCUGUUAGAUACAUUUGCGUUUUGUUCUGUUGUCACAGUAGUCACAGUCAUGUUUUGUGAGCUGGUUGUGAGGACUGGCUCUGCUGUCGAGGACUGGGUUCUGUCAUGUGUUGCGAGUGGAGUGGUCAUGCUGGACUGAGCUGUUACUUGUGAUGCAUUCUUCUGUUGAAUUGUUGCAGAACUUUCAGUUGUUGUUUUAGUUUUCUCAGUAGUGUUGACCACAGAUGGUGUUGAGGCCUCAGGAGUUGAAGUGCUUUGUGUAGUUGGGGGGGGCUCUCUCGGGCAGCUUUCGGUCAGAAGUACAGCAAGCCUUUCAUUUGC
Gasterosteus aculeatus aculeatus (three-spined stickleback) is the source of this 2424-nucleotide long non-coding RNA. Lineage: Eukaryota; Metazoa; Chordata; Actinopteri; Perciformes; Gasterosteidae. The record is from Ensembl.